Molecule: ribosomal RNA, 253 nt
Filed under: uncultured bacterium
Lineage: Bacteria
Description: partial 16S ribosomal RNA
Rfam family: Bacterial small subunit ribosomal RNA
Source: RNAcentral
GACAGAGGUGCCGAGCGUUAGGCGGAAUCACUGGGCUUAAAGCGUGUGUAGGCGGAUGCCUAAGUACCUUGUGAAAUCCCAUGGCUUAACCAUGGAACUGCUUGGUAUACUGGGUGUCUUGAGCCAGCUAGGGGCUACCGGAACAAAUGGUGGAGCGGUGAAAUGCGUAGAUAUCAUUUGGAACGCCAAUGGUGAAAACAGGUAGCUGGGGCUGUGCUGACGCUGAGACACGAAAGCCAGGGGAGCGAACGGG